RNAcentral lists this ribosomal RNA (253 nucleotides) under uncultured bacterium. RNAcentral's name for it is "partial 16S ribosomal RNA". It matches the Rfam family "Bacterial small subunit ribosomal RNA", at positions 524 to 776 of the family's 1533-position model. The record is from RNAcentral.
UACGUAGGGUGCAAGCGUUGUCCGGAAUUAUUGGGCGUAAAGAGCUCGUAGGCGGUCUGUCGCGUCGGCUGUGAAAACUCGGGGCUCAACUCCGAGCUUGCAGUCGAUACGGGCAGGCUAGAGUAUUGCAGGGGAGACUGGAAUUCCUGGUGUAGCGGUGAAAUGCGCAGAUAUCAGGAGGAACACCGGUGGCGAAGGCGGGUCUCUGGGCAAUAACUGACGCUGAGGAGCGAAAGCGUGGGGAGCGAACAGG